RNAcentral lists this long non-coding RNA (3869 nucleotides) under Mytilus galloprovincialis (Mediterranean mussel). The record is from RNAcentral. Lineage: Eukaryota; Metazoa; Mollusca; Bivalvia; Mytilida; Mytilidae.
GCUACAAACCUUGGUAGAUGGUUGAAAAAUGGAUCAAAGAAACAGAUGCACUUAUAAAACUAAAUAGUAUUGUACAGAGAAGAAUAGAAAAUGCAGCUGGAACUUACCUGCUAAUAACAUAUUACACAGGUCUCAUUUGAAUAAUUUUGUUUUUCUUUCAAAUCUUUCGUCAUUUUAAACUGUCUUACAUCUAUUUCAAACAGUUUAAAUUACAUGCAUUUGUGAUAAAGGGUGUAAUCGCUAUUUUGUGCAUUAUUCCUUUGAACUGUUUGUGAUAAUUUUCCAACUCUAGAGAGAGGUAGAAAUAGGAAUAGUGUACACUUAUACUAGAACCAAUUUGUUUAUAACACUUAAUUGUAUUUUUAUAAGUCAAACCUGGUAAUAAUGUAUUACAUAACAGACCAAGGCCCAGUACACUUAUGUGGAAAUUAAUACAACAACACAUGUGAUGCGUUAAUAUCGGCAAAUCCAAUUCCGUGACUGUACCGUUGCCAUAUAGUAUUUUAAUUGAUCCCAAGUGAAAUUUGAUCUAAGUAGAAUAUUUUGAAUAGAACAUUUACUUGAAAUCGGAUUUAAAUUUUAAUUGUUACAGUACAGCUCUUUGAAUUAUGUAUUUACGUAUUUAAAUGUGUGCGUCCUAUGAAAUUCGUACUGUUUAACAUUUCAUCUUUGGAUGCGAUCUUAGUUUAACCAAGGAGGUUAUAUAACCUCCUUGGUUUAACUAACUUGUGUCUAAUACUUUUUCGAUAUUUAAAAAUAAAAUAUUUUUGAACUGACACCCCAUUAAAAGAUUUAUCCCAAUUGUUUAUUCAAGAUACUGAUUGGAAUAUUAUUACUAGCAAAUACAGUUUAAUUGUUGCGAUAACAUGCAAUUCUGCCAUUUUGUAAAAAGCGGUUAAAUGUGGUAGAGAUCAAAAUGCCAUGGUUAGGUAAUAUUUAUGUAAUGUCUUGUCCAACACAUUUUAUUUUACUUGAAACAGGACUUUAAGUAAAACUAAAAUAAUUUUAAACUAUGUAAUUGAAUAAAAAUGUUUAAUAUAUAUAUACUGAUUUGAAAAGAGGAUUCGUGGAGCAUAUGACAGACCCAGCAACGGUAACGUUGUUUGUAUUGAUACUUUUGGAUUUGAGUAUUAAGUAAAUAAAAGAAAGACCAAUUAUUUGUCCGUAAUUGAAUUCAGAAGGAAAUAAAAUAGACUUUCAAUUGUUUAGGAUUUCCAGUUCUAUGUUACAGAACAAAUUGAAAAUUUGUGGUAUUCAGAAGUCUUUUAACUCAAAAUAGAAUUAGAUAUUCUAUGCUUUUGAAAGUAAUCAAUUUGGACUUAAUAAUAUGAGCAGAGUUUCGGGAAAAAGACUUUGCUCUAAUUAAAAGAUUGCAUUCCAUAUAUAUAUAUUUUGAGACAUUUUAACAUGUGUAUCGAAAGACAUUAUUAACAUAAAAUUAAGAUUUUAUAAUGUGAUAUGCAAUAUUGAAAAAUACUUUUUGAAUUUUGUGUAUGUGCUUAUAUAUAAUUACUAAGAAUGUGCUCAAAUUCAGUUUUCAGCCAUAUAUUUAUCUAUAAGUUUGAUAAAAAUUUAUGGAAUGCAUGUACACUUAGGUGAUGUUAAAAAUUUAACGUACGUCAUAUGAACUAAUGAUACUGUGAAUUUGGUAAAGAUUGAAGGACAUUUAGAAAUCGUCUGUCAUAUGAAAUAAAUUCUUAGGAAAUUGGACAUACCGUUUUAAUUUUUUAUUUAGUUUGAUUAUAUAAGUUUAUUUUUAACAAUGAUUUUUUUUAGCGGCUAUUCUCAUUACCAUUCCGUCCAAUCUUUGGUCCACCUAGUACAAAUCAUGUUACACUGUUAUUGUAGAUAUAUAUUUUUUUAGGAAAUUGUACUGGCAAAAUAAUCGCUUAUGACUUUAAGUUAUCAAUGAUUAUAUUAUUUAUAAACGUUUAAUUGCAUUCAGCUUUAAUUUUAAGAACUUACACAAAAACCCUUUAAAUUAAGGAAUACUUUGCAAAUUAUACUGGUGAAAAUAUCUUUUUACGUUUGAAAUGUAUGUUAUUUUACAGAGGAGUAUUGAAAGAUUUAAUCUUUUUACAUAUAACAUACAAAUAUUUGGAAAAGUAAGUCUUGAAUGCAUAUUGUUCUAGUGCAUAUGAGAAAUGACGUAUCCAAAUGUAAGGGAAAAUAUACCAGACAUAUUUUAUGAAUACUAUGCAAAUAAAAUUCGUUUAAUUUUCAUUCAAGUCAGAAUACUACAAAUGAACAUAAAACUGAUGUGAUAUGUCUAUUAAUAUGUAAAUAGACUCCUCGUAUAUACCAGGAUUGAAAUUUCGUAUCUGCACCAGAUGCGCGUUUCGUUUACAAAAGACUUAUCAGUGACGCUCGAAUAAAAUAAAGUUCAAAAGGCUAAACAUAGUACGAGUUUGCCAAAUACAGCUGAUGUAAUCUAUUCCUGAGGCAAAAGUUUUGUUAACAGCUAAUUUAUAAUUAUGACCAUAUUAAUGAUAAUGAAUGAAUCUUUAUUGCAUUAGCAACAACAUUGCUUUAGCAUAAUACAUAUAUACAUUUAUGACAAAUAUGACAGAAUACAGAGAACAAUUAAACAAAUUAAUUCAUGUCAAUACAGGAGUGCUAAAUACUAACAUUUGUUUGACACAUCGCAUUAUAAAACAUGAGUUACGACCCCUUAACUCUACAGGUAUUUAAUUUGAACAAUUUUUUUUUAUAACAGAACAAAAUGAAUUAUAGGUUACGGCAUAGCUUUCCUAUCCGACGAAAGCACAAAAUCAAAAUAUUUCGACAUCUACAAGAUGACUUUGGAGUCUACUAUAUACUACUCUUAAGAGAUAUUUUUUAAAUAGUAUGGUGUUUUAAGCUAAAUUAUAUUGAUAGAUGUAAUAUAAAUGUAUUUAAAUCUGUGUUUUUAGAGUCUCUCAUAACUCUUUUUAGAGUGGCUCUUUUAUAAAUUGAUCAGUUAAUAUUAUAUUGUGUUUAAUAUCAAUUUUUUUAAAGAGGUGAGACUCUAAUAAAUUAUUUGUUUGUUUGUUUGUUUGUUAUGUUGUACUUAAAUUUAGGCAGUAGAAAUAAAUACAUUUGAAAACCAACUUCUGAUUGUAAAAACUUCGAUUCACUUACUUAUUUUUGACAUAAAAUUCCAUGAACACGGUCUUUCCUGUAAAAUAAACAGACCAAUUUAUUGUAUUUUUUCACCUUAUAUGUAGAAGUAUUCGACUAUUUUCUUCUUUUUAGUUGCUUUUUAAUCUUUGAUUGUUAUAUCCAUUGUCUUGUCAAUCAUACCAUAUACAUCUCCUUAUUCAGAUAUUGUAAUACAAAUGAACUUUAAAUUAAAAAAGAAAUAACAGCAAAAGAUAUAAAAUGUAGCAAAGCUUAAAGUCUUGAAACAUUAUAUGUAUAAAUAUAUACAAUUAAUAAGUUCGGAUAAUCUUAGAGAACUAUGUAGUUUUGGUAAAUUUAUAUUUCGUGCACAAAAAUGAAAGAUAUAACAUGUAAUAUGUUAUAUACUAUCUUCUGCUAUCUAUGUAUACUUUGUGUAGUUUAUGUGUUGUAUGCCUAUAGUUGUUAUGACUUAUGUUAAUAAGGAUUAUAUCUGUGUAUAAUCUAUAUGAAAUAGUUUACAAGGCCUUACUGUCACAUUCUUGUUUUUUUGCUAAUCAUUUUAAUUUAUUGAUUUGUUUUGUGAUUGAAUUGGCCUUAUAUUGCCUGAUGUUUAUGCUUACCAACUAAUUUAUUUUGGUCAAAGAUUUAUAUAGUAAGUCAUAUUAUACAAGUGCUUGCUUUUGUGUAGCUUAAAUGACAGUAAUAAUAAAAUACUAAUGUUCAUUUUUUCAUAUAUGGUUUUUUUUUAACCCCAUUAGGACAAGUAA